GCCUGGGUGGCUCAGUCGGUUGAGCAUCUGACUUCGGCUCAGGUCAUGACCUCGCAAUCUGUGGGUUUGAGCCCUGUGUCAGGCU
RNAcentral lists this transfer RNA (85 nucleotides) under Felis catus (domestic cat). It matches the Rfam family "tRNA". From Rfam's summary of the family: Transfer RNA (tRNA) molecules are approximately 80 nucleotides in length. Their secondary structure includes four short double-helical elements and three loops (D, anti-codon, and T loops). Further hydrogen bonds mediate the characteristic L-shaped molecular structure. tRNAs have two regions of fundamental functional importance: the anti-codon, which is responsible for specific mRNA codon recognition, and the 3' end, to which the tRNAs corresponding amino acid is attached (by aminoacyl-tRNA synthetases). tRNAs cope with the degeneracy of the genetic code in two manners: having more than one tRNA (with a specific anti-codon) for a particular amino acid; and 'wobble' base-pairing, i.e. permitting non-standard base-pairing at the 3rd anti-codon position. Lineage: Eukaryota; Metazoa; Chordata; Mammalia; Carnivora; Felidae. The record is from Rfam by way of RNAcentral.